UUUCUGUCUUCAUUUAUUCUUUUAGUUUUACACCUCUGUCAGUUUCCCAAGUCCAUGCUACUAUAUCAUAAUUAUUUUACUCAUGUUUAUAUUUACUUAGCUUCUAACCUUUAACUAUAAAAGCUUAUUAUGUAAACACCAUAGUUUGAGUAAUAUUCUGGAAAAUAUUAAACUUCUUGUACAUCUGUAAUUACUUUUAACUUAUUUCCAGUUGGAAAAUUAACAAUUUAAAGAAUAGGACUUUUUCUGGAUACAACUGAAGUCUUUCAGAAAGUGAGAACUAAUUUGUCCUUCCACUAGCAGGAAAAGUUCUUUGACAAUCUUUGACCAAGGUGUGACUGCUUCUUUACACAUUUACAUCACAUGCUUUGUGCUGAAGUAUGUUAAGGUAAGUUACCUGUAGGAUCCUUAUAAAUAUCCAAUAAAUAGGAAUGAGUUCACA
RNAcentral lists this long non-coding RNA (442 nucleotides) under Vulpes vulpes (red fox). RNAcentral's name for it is "lncRNA (ENSVVUG00000013434.1)". Lineage: Eukaryota; Metazoa; Chordata; Mammalia; Carnivora; Canidae. The record is from RNAcentral.